This is a long non-coding RNA of Chenopodium quinoa (quinoa), 2707 nucleotides long. RefSeq lists it as uncharacterized. The record is from RefSeq and is a predicted model, not a curated record. NCBI's taxonomy places the organism in Eukaryota, Viridiplantae, Streptophyta, Magnoliopsida, Caryophyllales, Amaranthaceae. The transcript has 3 exons.
CUCUCAAUUGUCAAUUAUGAGAGCUCUCAUUACAAAAGAAGAUUAGGAAGGUAUCAACUUCCAAUUUCAAACUUCCCGCGAUUUCUUUCUCUUUUCACCCCCAUCAAAUCUUUAAUCAAAUUCGGUCCUCAUUUGAUUCAAAUAAUCUCAAUACAUUGUUAUUAAUCAAUAAUCAUUCCAGAGUUAUUCGCUGUCGCUAUGGGGUGGAUUAUUGGAGCCAGUUGUGCUUUCCCAAACUCGUAUUCAAGUUAUAUGAUGGUAAGUUCAAAUUUAUAGCUUCUUUUAACUAUUUAUAGUCAUUCCUCUUCUAUAAUGAAAAACAAUUCAGAAUAUAACCUCUUACAGCUCAGCAUAAAUUUUAAUGUGGGUUUGCCCAUCCCCCUGUCUUUUACCUCUAACUAGGUUGUGCUGAUCUAAUUCCAUAAUCAUAUCCCAACAGCUACCGCGAUAGUCAUGGGCUACCAAAUCGUACGGACACCUAAUGGAAUCUCUCUUAGGACCAUAUACAAGUAUGUGGAAGCUCUUUUAGCCUACUUGCACUCUUUUGGCGAAUUUGGUCUUAAUUUCUCUAUUAAAAGUGGACAUUCUAUUAAAUGAUUCCAGAUUAAGCUAGAAAAUGAUAGUGAUAAUAUCCACCUUAUCUCAAAGAUUUUGCUAACUCUUCCCUCGGUAAUUAGUUUAUAGUUGCACCACUUUAUAUUAAAAGUUUGUGUAGGAUAUAUUGGCAAAAUAUUCAGUGUUCCAUUAAGUGAGUUCUAACCAGACAAUAAUAGUUCUGCACCAUCUUAAAUGUAAUGUGUGGCUGGACCAUAUUAUUGAUUAAUGGCUAGGAUUUUGGAGAUCACAGCUAUAGUGGUGACAAAAGUACUUCCAAAUUAUUAGCAAUUCUAUUCUUGUUCACCAUAAGCUUAAGCGACUAGAUUGUAUAAGAACAGAAACAUACUAGGGCUUCAACUUAAAAAAAUUUAGCAAACAAAGCUGAUGAGUAAUUGAGUCAUAAUGGGUAGGUUAACAUUGUAUGAGAAUUGUCAUGUUCUUAGAGUCAAUUGUUUUGAUAACCGAAUAUUUCAGUCCAUAAGGGACCAUCCAUAUUAGGAAGAACCAAAUUAUCAAUAUGAGAGGUGGUAGUGAAAAGAUUACUAGAUGAGGGAAGUCUGGUGAUGGGAGAGUUUGGAGUUAUCUUGCAAGUUGGUCGGAUGAGCACAAGUCUAGGUGUUCUGUGGGAAUAAAACGUCCACUACACUAAACCGAAAUCUUUUUCAUUACAUUUAGAAUCAGGAUAUGUACUCAGGGAAUUGCAAGUUGUAGGCUUUGAAUGGAUGAUGAUUCAUAGGGUUAGGAUGCUUGUAUGUCUACAUCCUCUUGAAUACAGUUCCUCUAGGGUAUGGUUAACGAUAAAUGUUAUGAUUUAUGUAAAGUUGAAACUCUGUAGGUAAGGGAUACAUCUACACUGCUGAGAUCAACAAAAAUGGCAAAUGAUGAUGUUGUAGUUUGCUCUCCUCUAUCAACAAUGACAUGAAGGGUGCAAUCUGAUUGGUUGCUCCAAAGCUAUCAGUGGUCCAUUUACAUGAAAAGCAAGGUAAUCGGCUUAAAUCAUGUGAUUAAUUAUGCUUCUUCCAUAAUGACUGCAAAGUGCUAUCUGAUGCUUAAAUUAUCCUUCUAUUUCAGCCAAUCAGAUCUCAUUUUUCAAGCUUAAGAUGAGGUCAGGGAAUUAAGAUCAUAAUUGUUCCAUCAUUAUCUGUGAUUAUACUCACAGAAGAUUUGGGUUGACAAUUAAUUUUUGAUGCUAAAUUUGGAUAGACAAAUAUGAGUUGAUGUGGGGCAUGGAUUCUUCUUGCACCUCUAAAUUGUGAAGUCACUCUCAUAAUAAAAGUGCUGAAAUAGGCAUUCUAUUGUGUCCUUUAAACUUUAAAGUCCUGUUCAUUCUUCUUGGAAAAAAGCUUGAGAGUAGACCUUCAACCUUUUAGCCCUCCCCUGCUUUUUUAUCUUUUGUUUUUCCUCUCCCUUUUCCAUGUUACAAGAAUUAUUCUCCUCGGGAACGUAUGUAAUUUGUGAUGGCUACGUAGUCCAUGUCUUUCCUAUAUGGCUUAAACAAUCAAGUUGUUGCAAUGCAUGUUCAGGAUUCAUUGCUGCUGCUGUGUGCCUGGAUUCUGAUUCGCCUGAAAUUUACACUUCUUUUGUUGCAGGUGGGAUGACGAUUUGGGACUUGAGUUUUACCUGCUAGAAACCUUGAGCUGAUCAUAGGCCAAGAUGCAUUCAAGUAGAGACGGCCACAGGCUGUAUUCUAUUCACUUUGUACUAUUUGCUGCUGGAUAAUUUUGACAGACCUAAUCCAAAUUGGGCUGAGAUGAUCAGUUGUUACUGGCAGGAAACGAGGUUUUCACUCAGAUAACAACAGUUCAUGAAUGUUAUAGGUUAUAGUACAACUUCACCAUCAUCUUUUGCCCAUGUGUUUGGUAAUUUGUACAUUAUAAUUGCUGUCAAACAAUGAAUGAUUGAAAUGUUUUCAGUCAUUUGAUGCUCUGCUGCAAGCGCGCUAAAUUUACAGGCUGAUGACCUAGGUGCAGUUUUCUGUGAUCCUUCGGAACUAAUGGUUGUUAUUCCUACGUUGAUAUCUAUUCAUCCUUGUUAUACCACAUGCUUUGUUCUGACAUUGGCAGUUCGCCUUAUCUUAACUCAAAAGAAUAUAAAUUCUUGUUUUUCAUGU